Long non-coding RNA from Eufriesea mexicana, 578 nucleotides. RefSeq lists it as uncharacterized. The transcript is spliced from 3 exons. The record is from RefSeq and is a predicted model, not a curated record. NCBI's taxonomy places the organism in Eukaryota, Metazoa, Arthropoda, Insecta, Hymenoptera, Apidae.
CGUUACUUUGUAAGCUCCCCAUUUUUGUAUGGGGGGCGCCAAGGAGAAUCUGCGGCUGAGCGGCCGGUCGGAUGUGCUUGUGCUGUUGAAUCGCUAGCGCGGAUGAAAGUAUGACCAAAAUUGAAGCGAGGUUGCGGAUAUAAUCAAGAUUCUUUUUCUUGAUUCUAAUACAGGAACACUAGUCGAUACUUUGUUCCAUACACAAGUAACAAAAGCACUUUCCCUUCAUUAUUAUCUUUUGUUCUAUGAGGUUUACCCACAGCGGUGUGCACAAAUUUCUGGCUAAAUGGAUUUCUCCAAUCAUAUUCCAAUAAUGGUAUUGAAAAGAAUUUUGACUAAUAAUUGGCAGUCAAUGUUAAAUUGAUUAAUAAGAAUAAAGAACUGCAGCUGGAUGAGUCUGUCUGACUGAGUCUUCACAGUUAUCUUGAGACGUGGAGGAGAGUAAUUUAUAUAUUAAACAUAUGCAAUAACAUAUAUAGUACCAAAGUCACGUGGCAAAAUAUUUGAUGAAUUUUCAACUCUCAAAGGACUGCUUCGAUAGCAAAGAAAUAGCAUGGAUGAUUCAAUAAGACAAUGAU